ACUCAAAUGAAUUGACGGGGACUUGCACAAGCAGUGGAUUAUGUGGUUUAAUUCGACGCCAAACGAAGAACCUCACCAGGGUUAGAAAUCUAACUGAAUACUUUAGGAAACUAGAGUAGUCUCACAAGGACAGUUAGACAGGUGAUGCAUGGCCGUCGUCAGUUCGUGGUUUGAACUGUUCCCUUCAGUGGGGUAACGAACGCAACCCUCGUUGCCUGUUACAAGUGUCAGGCGAGACUGCCCCCGUUUUUGUUUCAAAAUCCGAAAGGAUUUGGAAAUAAAAACGGGGGAGGAAGGCGAGGAUGACGCCAGGUCAGCAUGUCCCUUUGAUAUCCUGGGCUACACACAUAAUACAAUCGCACACACAACGAGACGCAAUGUGGUAACACGGAGCAAAUCUUUAGAAAAUGUGCGCCAGUUCGGAUUGAGGUCUGCAACUCGACCUCAUGAAGCCGGAAUUGCUAGUAAUCGCGGGUCAGCUAUACCGCGGUGAAUACGUUCUCAAGUCUUGUACACACCGCCCGU
RNAcentral lists this ribosomal RNA (525 nucleotides) under uncultured bacterium. RNAcentral describes it as "partial 16S ribosomal RNA". It matches the Rfam family "Bacterial small subunit ribosomal RNA", at positions 899 to 1397 of the family's 1533-position model. The record is from RNAcentral.